This 998-nucleotide ribosomal RNA is filed under the name Fusarium napiforme. Its description in RNAcentral is "eukaryotic LSU rRNA". The stretch from base 446 to 998 matches the Rfam family "Eukaryotic large subunit ribosomal RNA", at positions 1 to 565 of the family's 3401-position model. Lineage: Eukaryota; Fungi; Ascomycota; Sordariomycetes; Hypocreales; Nectriaceae. The record is from RNAcentral.
CCCAAACCCCUGUGAACAUACCAAUUGUUGCCUCGGCGGAUCAGCCCGCUCCCGGUAAAACGGGACGGCCCGCCAGAGGACCCCUAAACUCUGUUUCUAUAUGUAACUUCUGAGUAAAACCAUAAAUAAAUCAAAACUUUCAACAACGGAUCUCUUGGUUCUGGCAUCGAUGAAGAACGCAGCAAAAUGCGAUAAGUAAUGUGAAUUGCAGAAUUCAGUGAAUCAUCGAAUCUUUGAACGCACAUUGCGCCCGCCAGUAUUCUGGCGGGCAUGCCUGUUCGAGCGUCAUUUCAACCCUCAAGCCCAGCUUGGUGUUGGGACUCGCGAGUCAAAUCGCGUUCCCCAAAUUGAUUGGCGGUCACGUCGAGCUUCCAUAGCGUAGUAGUAAAACCCUCGUUACUGGUAAUCGUCGCGGCCACGCCGUUAAACCCCAACUUCUGAAUGUUGACCUCGGAUCAGGUAGGAAUACCCGCUGAACUUAAGCAUAUCAAUAAGCGGAGGAAAAGAAACCAACAGGGAUUGCCCUAGUAACGGCGAGUGAAGCGGCAACAGCUCAAAUUUGAAAUCUGGCUCUCGGGCCCGAGUUGUAAUUUGUAGAGGAUACUUUUGAUGCGGUGCCUUCCGAGUUCCCUGGAACGGGACGCCAUAGAGGGUGAGAGCCCCGUCUGGUUGGAUGCCAAAUCUCUGUAAAGUUCCUUCGACGAGUCGAGUAGUUUGGGAAUGCUGCUCUAAAUGGGAGGUAUAUGUCUUCUAAAGCUAAAUACCGGCCAGAGACCGAUAGCGCACAAGUAGAGUGAUCGAAAGAUGAAAAGCACUUUGAAAAGAGAGUUAAAAAGUACGUGAAAUUGUUGAAAGGGAAGCGUUUAUGACCAGACUUGGGCUUGGUUAAUCAUCUGGGGUUCUCCCCAGUGCACUUUUCCAGUCCAGGCCAGCAUCAGUUUUUGCCGGGGGAUAAAGACUUCGGGAAUGUGGCUCUCUUCGGGGAGUGUUAUAGCCCG